RNAcentral lists this ribosomal RNA (443 nucleotides) under uncultured bacterium. RNAcentral describes it as "partial 16S ribosomal RNA". It matches the Rfam family "Bacterial small subunit ribosomal RNA", at positions 338 to 795 of the family's 1533-position model. The record is from RNAcentral.
CCUACGGGUGGCAGCAGUGGGGAAUAUUGGGCAAUGGGCGCAAGCCUGACCCAGCAACGCCGCGUGAAGGAAGAAGGCUUUCGGGUUGUAAACUCCUUUUCUCAGGGACGAAGCAAGCGACGGUACCUGAGGAAUAAGCCACGGCCAACUACGUGCCAGCAGCCGCCGUAACACGGAGGUGGGAAGCGUUAUCCGGAUUUACUGGGUGUAAAGGGCAUGUAGGCGGGAAAGCUAGUCAGAUGUGAAAACGAUGGGCCCAACCUGUGGCCUGCAGUUGAAACUGGUCUUCUUGAGUGAUGGAGAGGCAGGCGGAAUUCCUAGUGUAGCGGUGAAAUGCGUAGAUAUUAGGAGGAACACCAGUGGCGAAGGCGGUAUGCUGGACAGCAACUGACGCUGAGGCGCGAAAGCGUGGGGAGCAAACAGGAUUAGAUACCCUUGUAGUC